UAAGUGAUGCAGUUAUCUGUAAAACAAAUCGGAAAAUAAUAAAGAUACAUUUUCACUUUUUGGCCAAUUUAUGUGAGCUUGCUUCGAUUCAAGCAGACAGCUUUUAAAAAUUUCGCUCAAAAGUAACAAUCCUUGUUGUACACCCCACUUUGAAAGUGCCUCUCACCAGAGGGCGAGCGUUGGGGCGAGCCUUGGGCGAGCCGGGCGAGGUUGAUGCCAACGUUGGUUGAUGCAGACGCAGAGCGCAGGCCGCUGGGCAACAAGACCAGGGAAAGAGCGGAGCGGAGCAACGACGAAAACGAAAGGUGGCCGAGACCGAGAAGCGUUGACAAGUGAGGCUUGGCCUGAAGAGCGUUUUGAAUUGGAAAAUUCUUUGAAGAGUGCAGACUUGUGCUUUCGGAAGACUCGAUCCGAAAAGAUUUUGAAGGAAGGUUGGUGUGUGUUAAGAUCUUGGAGGCGAUUUGCAUUUUGUCUUCUCUUGUUAUUCUGCUGCUGCGUCUGGUUUGAAGAAACAAAUCAAAAUGCCCAAUCUAAGCAGAUCGUUUAGAAUUUACCCUGGAUCAUCCCUCCCAUAUGUCAUCCAACUGCAGCACCAAGGAGUUGUCAAUGGAGGCAAAAUCCUUCUUAACCCUGCUUUGGCUGACUGGGUGAAUUUUGGUCGCCGCAGCACAAAGAUAUUCCCGAGGAAGAGGAAACCAUCAUCAGAAUGUCUAAACUCAAUGGACUUGGAAAAGUUGUUGGAGAUCCAACCCACUUUGGACUGCUCGGCUACUAUGCAGGAUCCCCUCAACUUGACAUGUUCGCUCCCAUGUAGUUGCUCGACAACGUUGAUGUUGAGGUGGGUGCAUUUGUGAAGUUGAACGUUGCCAAGCUGCAAGUGGCUGAACUGAUCGUGAUUAUGCCACCGAAAUGGAGGUUGAUGCAAACUUGGCCAAAGAAGCUGUGAAGAACUUCCUGCGACAACUUGUGGCCAUGAGCAAGGGAGACGCGUUCAAACUUGACUUUGGAGAACAUCGUGAUGUUCCUUUUGAGGUGGUUGAGACAAGACACCCGAAAAGUUUGUCAGGUUUGAAGGCUUCGCGGCUGAGCCUCACUUUGAACUGAUAGUGCUCUCUGGAGAGCAAGACCAAGCUCCCGAAGCAGAAUGAAGUAGAAAUAACCAUUUGGUCAACAGUGGUGGUGACGAUGACAAUAGUGCAUCGGAGGAAGAAGUCAAUAUCAACGACCAUGAAGAGGAAAAUGAUGCACCAAGUGCAGGAAGCAUGAUUGAUGAUCAGCAUGGCCAAAAUGAGAUCCAAAUUGAAACUGAAGAUGAGGAUGAAAGUCGCCAGGACGAGUCAACUGAAGACGAGGAUGAUGACAUGGAAAGGCCUGUGAACCUUUCUUUCAUCCGGGAGAUGAGGUUGAAAAAGUUUGACUAGCUGCUAGGAUAAGUUACCCUCUUAAGUGUAAAAUAUUUUAUUUUUAAUAGGAAUUGAAAUAAAAACGAUGCAUAGACGAAAGUUUGGAAAAUAUUUUUCCCACAAUGAUACAUA
Long non-coding RNA from Neocloeon triangulifer, 1535 nucleotides. RefSeq lists it as uncharacterized. The transcript has 3 exons. The record is from RefSeq and is a predicted model, not a curated record. Lineage: Eukaryota; Metazoa; Arthropoda; Insecta; Ephemeroptera; Baetidae.